Molecule: non-coding RNA, 1292 nt
Organism: Chrysemys picta bellii (western painted turtle)
Lineage: Eukaryota; Metazoa; Chordata; Testudines; Emydidae
Source: RefSeq, a predicted model, not a curated record
CCAGCCCAGGGAUAUAGCUGAGGUAGCUUUACCUUCUCUAUAGCCUCACCAAUUCCCAGGGGCUAGACAACCCCUCCUAGUAACUACCACAUUUGUGACUCACUAAUGCUGCUCACUCACUAAGAUCGAGAGUGACUGAAAAUCAGAGGAAAACUUUCCAUGCGGCCGCUACCCCAUCUCCAUGUUAAUAUGUUAACUAUAAUUAGCUUUUGCAUGGGUUUAUGUAGGCGUGUAACACAGUGAAAGGUGAAGUUCACAUUUUAGAGUUUUAUGUUUAUUGAUCCUGCUUGAGGAGAGAUAAUAAUUAACGUUAGUUCUCUAGUAAACCCAAAGGAAGUAUCACUGUAGCCCAGCUUGGAAAAGUUGCAAUAGUCAUUACUUUUGUGGCCCUUCCUGUUUAUUGCCAGUAGGAACAGAAUGUCUGGUAUCGAUGUCGGGAUCAUCUUGAAGUUCUGGAGAAAAAACAACAACCGAAAAGGACCAUAAGAAUUGCUCCUGGGGAAAUUCCACUGCAGGGAUGCAGAAUUCACCACCACUGCAUGCAUGCAAAAUUCAUACCCCCCACGGAUUUAUUUGCUUUCCUGCAGAAAAGGACCAAGAAGCAAAGGGAAGCCGCAAGAGUAGUCAUGCACUCCUCUCUAGCAGUGUCGGCAUGUUAUUUCAGGCACAUGGAGCAGCUAGUAGAGAGAAUUUCUAGCUAUGGUUGUGAAAGACGAUUAUCACAGCAUAUGACCUGAAGAUCGGUGUUACCUUUCCAUGAGGAUGCCACCCUCUCUGAACUGACAACCAGGCUUUGGAAGCACAAAUCAAGUAAUGCAUAGGGGAGAGCUUGCUGACAUUUUUUUCAUUGAAACAUUUUUUGGACCAAAAAUUGGCUUUUCUGACCAAAGUAAAAAUUUGUGUAGGAAAUUUUCAUUUUGGUGGAGAUUUUCCAGAUUUUUUGACAAAAAAUAAAAUAAAAACAAAAACCACCACAACAACCUGAAAAUAAAAACUCCUCAAUACAUUUUUUUGGUUUUCAACACAAAUUUUGUGCUAAACCCAAAGCUUUUUCUAUCCAUAUUUUUUUGAAAACCAAAAAUAUUUCAAUUUUGGUAUAGGUAUAAAACUGAGAAACAAAACAUUAAUGGGAAAUUUAAAACACAUUUUUUUUCAAAAUUUACUGUGAAAAAUACUUGGCAUUUUUUUGACCAGCUCUGGUAUAUCAUAUAUGCACAUUAAGCAUUUUUAAGUGAACUGUGAGAAACAUGAGUAAAUAAAAUAAAAUAUUAUAUAUUAUUAUAAUAUUAUAA